UACGGGGGGGGCAAGCGUUGUUCGGAAUUUUUGGGCGUAAAGGGCGCGUAGGCGGCCAAGUAAGUCAAAGGUGAAAUCCCUCGGCUCAACUGAGGAAUUGCCUUUGAAACUGCGUGGCUUGAGGCCGGGAGGGGGUAGCGGAAUUCCCAGUGUAGCGGUGAAAUGCGUAGAUACUGGGAGGAACACCAGUGGCGAAGGCGGCUACCUGGACCGGUUCUGACGCUGAUGCGCGAAAGCGUGGGGAGCAAACAGG
Molecule: ribosomal RNA, 253 nt
Filed under: uncultured bacterium
Lineage: Bacteria
Description: partial 16S ribosomal RNA
Rfam family: Bacterial small subunit ribosomal RNA
Source: RNAcentral